UACGUAGGGUGCGAGCGUUAUUCGGAAUUACUGGGCGUAAAGAGUGCGUAGGCGGUCCCGCAAGUCCGCUGUGAAAGCCCCGGGCUUAACCUGGGAAUGGCAGUGGAAACUAUGGGACUUGAAUCUGGCAGAGGGGGGUGGAAUGCCACGUGUAGCAGUGAAAUGCGUAGAGAUGUGGCGGAACACCGAUGGCGAAGGCAGCCCCCUGGGCUGAGAUUGACGCUCAGGCACGAAAGCGUGGGGAGCAAACAGG
This 253-nucleotide ribosomal RNA is filed under the name uncultured bacterium. RNAcentral's name for it is "partial 16S ribosomal RNA". It matches the Rfam family "Bacterial small subunit ribosomal RNA", at positions 524 to 776 of the family's 1533-position model. The record is from RNAcentral.